Molecule: ribosomal RNA, 559 nt
Filed under: uncultured bacterium
Lineage: Bacteria
Description: bacterial SSU rRNA
Rfam family: Bacterial small subunit ribosomal RNA
Source: RNAcentral
GGGAAACUGCCUGAUGGAGGGGGAUAACUACUGGAAACGGUAGCUAAUACCGCAUAACGUCGCAAGACCAAAGAGGGGGACCUUCGGGCCUCUUGCCAUCAGAUGUGCCCAGAUGGGAUUAGCUAGUAGGUGGGGUAACGGCUCACCUAGGCGACGAUCCCUAGCUGGUCUGAGAGGAUGACCAGCCACACUGGAACUGAGACACGGUCCAGACUCCUAUGGGAGGCAGCAGUGGGGAAUAUUGCACAAUGGGCGCAAGCCUGAUGCAGCCAUGCCGCGUGUAUGAAGAAGGCCUUCGGGUUGUAAAGUACUUUCAGCGGGGAGGAAGGUGUUGAGGUUAAUAACCUCAGCAAUUGACGUUACCCGCAGAAGAAGCACCGGCUAACUCCGUGCCAGCAGCCGCGGUAAUACGGAGGGUGCAAGCGUUAAUCGGAAUUACUGGGCGUAAAGCGCACGCAGGCGGUCUGUCAAGUCGGAUGUGAAAUCCCCGGGCUCAACCUGGGAACUGCAUUCGAAACUGGCAGGCUGGAGUCUUGUAGAGGGGGGUAGAAUUCCAGGU